AGUGAACGCUGGCGGUAGGCCUAACACAUGCAAGUCGAACGGCAGCACAGUAAGAGCUUGCUCUUACGGGUGGCGAGUGGAGGACGGGUGAGGAAUACAUCGGAAUCUACUUUUUCGUGGGGGAUAACGUAGGGAAACUUACGCUAAUACCGCAUACGACCUACGGGUGAAAGCAGGGGAUCUUCGUACCUUGCGCGAUUGAAUGAGCCGAUGUCGGAUUAGCUAGUUGGCGGGGUAAAGGCCCACCAAGGCGACAAUCCGUAGCUGGUCUGAGAGGAUGAUCAGCCACACUAGAACUGAGACACGGUCCAGACUCCUACGGGAGGCAGCAGUGGGGAAUAUUGGACAAUGGGCGCAAGCCUGAUCCAGCAAUACCGCGUGGGUGAAGAAGGCCUUCGGGUUGUAAAGCCCUUUUGUUGGGAAAGAAAAGCAGCAGGUUAAUACCCCGCUGUUCUGACGGUACCCAAAGAAUAAGCACCGGCUAACUUCGUG
RNAcentral lists this ribosomal RNA (492 nucleotides) under uncultured bacterium. RNAcentral's name for it is "partial 16S ribosomal RNA". It matches the Rfam family "Bacterial small subunit ribosomal RNA", at positions 29 to 507 of the family's 1533-position model. The record is from RNAcentral.